GAAUGUGUAGCUCAAGUGGUAGAGCAGUAGGCUUUUAACUUAAUGGUUCCGAGUUCAAGUCUCGGUACAUUCA
RNAcentral lists this transfer RNA (73 nucleotides) under Plasmodiophora brassicae. It matches the Rfam family "tRNA". From Rfam's summary of the family: Transfer RNA (tRNA) molecules are approximately 80 nucleotides in length. Their secondary structure includes four short double-helical elements and three loops (D, anti-codon, and T loops). Lineage: Eukaryota; Endomyxa; Phytomyxea; Plasmodiophorida; Plasmodiophoridae. The record is from RNAcentral.